UACGAAGGGGGCUAGCGUUGCUCGGAAUCACUGGGCGUAAAGCGCACGUAGGCGGACUUGUCAGUCAGGGGUGAAAUCCCGGGGCUCAACCUCGGAACUGCCUUUGAUACUGCAAAUCUCGAGUCCGGAAGAGGUGAGUGGAAUUCCUAGUGUAGAGGUGAAAUUCGUAGAUAUUAGGAAGAACACCAGUGGCGAAGGCGGCUCACUGGUCCGGUACUGACGCUGAGGCGCGAAAGCGUGGGGAUCAAACAGG
Molecule: ribosomal RNA, 253 nt
Filed under: uncultured bacterium
Lineage: Bacteria
Description: partial 16S ribosomal RNA
Rfam family: Bacterial small subunit ribosomal RNA
Source: RNAcentral